UUUAAUUGUGAGGAUAAAUGAAAACUUUUUUUUUGAUUCAGUGUUUAUUUUUUCUUACUGUUGUUUUUAGUAAUAAUUAUAGAAAUGAUGAUUUCAAUUGCAGAGAUGCGUGCGGACUGUACUCUGCUGGUGACCUCACAAUGGAAAAUCUGCAAGCUGAAUGCGAAGCAUUUAAACCCAAUACAACAUGCAAAAAGAAAGAACUUAUAUUGGAGAAACUUAAAAUAAAACAAAAAAAGAAAUCCGGAACAAGGAUUGUUGGAGGAAAUAUUGUAAAAUCACCUUUACCCUGGAUGGUAUUGCUAAAAUUUAUGAAUAUGGAUUGCGGUGGAUCACUCAUCAAUUCAAGAUUUGUCCUAUCAGCAGCCCACUGUACAUGUAUAGAAACAAACGCAGAAUUCUAUUGUUCAAGGUAU
Eurytemora carolleeae is the source of this 416-nucleotide long non-coding RNA. RefSeq lists it as uncharacterized. NCBI's taxonomy places the organism in Eukaryota, Metazoa, Arthropoda, Copepoda, Calanoida, Temoridae. The record is from RefSeq and is a predicted model, not a curated record. The transcript has 4 exons.